GAUGAACGCUGGCGGCGUGCCUAAUACAUGCAAGUCGAGCGAACAGACGAGGAGCUUGCUCCUCUGACGUUAGCAGCGGACGGGUGAGUAGCACGUGGAUAACCUACCUAUAAGACUGGGAUAACUUCGGGAAACCGGAGCUAAUCCGGGAUAAUAUAUUGAACCGCAUGGUUCAAUAGUGAAAGACGGUUUUGCUGUCACUUAUCGAUGGAUCCGCGCCGCAUUAGCUAGUUGGUAAGGUAACGGCUUACCAAGGCAACGAUGCGUAGCCGACCUGCGAGGGUGAUCGGCCACACUGGAGCUGAGACGCGGUCCAGACUCCUACGGGAGGCAGCAGUAGGGAAUCUUCCGCAAUGGGCGAAAGCCUGACGGAGCAACGCCGCGUGAGUGAUGAAGGUCUUCGGAUCGUAAAACUCUGUUAUUAGUGAAGAACAAAUGUGUAAGUAACUAUGCACGUCUUGACGGUACCUAAUCAGAAAGCCACGGCUAACUACGUG
RNAcentral lists this ribosomal RNA (497 nucleotides) under uncultured bacterium. Its description in RNAcentral is "partial 16S ribosomal RNA". It matches the Rfam family "Bacterial small subunit ribosomal RNA", at positions 28 to 507 of the family's 1533-position model. The record is from RNAcentral.